Molecule: long non-coding RNA, 151 nt
Organism: Cyprinus carpio (common carp)
Lineage: Eukaryota; Metazoa; Chordata; Actinopteri; Cypriniformes; Cyprinidae
Exons: 3
Source: RefSeq, a predicted model, not a curated record
CAUUUAUUCCUUAUUCAUGUAAUGGACAAUGUUUUGGCAAUACUGUGCAAGUCAUGAAUUCACUUGAAUAUAAAUGAGUGUGUAUGUAGUGUGUGUGAAAGAGAGAGAGUGUGUGUGUGUGUGUGUGUGUGUGUGUGUGAGAGAGAGAGAG